RNAcentral lists this ribosomal RNA (398 nucleotides) under Clostridium sp. AF27-2AA. Its description in RNAcentral is "partial 23S ribosomal RNA". It matches the Rfam family "Bacterial large subunit ribosomal RNA", at positions 1 to 402 of the family's 2925-position model. The record is from RNAcentral. Lineage: Bacteria; Bacillati; Bacillota; Clostridia; Eubacteriales; Clostridiaceae.
UUGGUUAAGCUAUAAAGAGCGCAGGGUGGAUGCCUUGGCACUAAGAGCCGAUGAAAGACGUGAUAAGCUGCGAAAAGCUUCGGGGAGGAGCAAAUAUCCAUUGAUCCGGAGAUAUCUGAAUGGGGAAACCUGGCUGAGAAGACCUCAGUCGUCGUAUGGUGAAUCCAUAGCCAUACGUCGGGAACCGCCUGAACUGAAACAUCUAAGUAGGGCGAGGAAAAGAAAGAAAACUCGAUUUCCAAAGUAGCGGCGAGCGAAAUGGAAAGAGCCUAAACCGGAGCGCGUGCGUUCCGGGGUUACGGACUGCAAUAUGUGAGCUUUAGGAUAGUGGAACGGUCUGGGAAGUCCGAUCACAGAGGGUGAAAAUCCCGUACACGAAAUCCAAAGGCAGCUAGCAG